GACGAACGCUGGCGGCGUGCCUAAUACAUGCAAGUCGAACGCUGAAGAGAGGAGCUUGCUCUUCUUGGGUGAGUUGCGAACGGGUGAGUUACGCGUCCGUACCCUGCCUUGUAGCGGGGGAUUCCUAUUGGAAACGAUAGCUACUACCGCAUAACAAUGGCUGCCACAUGUCUUUUAUUUUCAAGGGGCAAUUGCUCCACUACAAGAUGGACCUGCGUUGUAUUAGCUAGUAGGUGAGGUAAUCGCUCACCUAGGCGACGAUACAUAGCCGACCUGGGAUGGUGAUCGGCCACACUGGGCAUGAGUAACGGCCCAGACUCCUACGGGAGGCAGUAGUAGGGAAUCUUCGGCAAUGGGGGCAACGCUGAACGAGCAACGCCGCGUGAGUGAAGAAGGUUGUCGGAUCGUAAAGUUCUGUUGUAAGUCAAGAAAGGGUGUGAGAGUGGAAAGUUCACACUGUGACGGUAGCUAAACAGAAAGGGACGGCUAACUACGUG
This 497-nucleotide ribosomal RNA is filed under the name uncultured bacterium. Its description in RNAcentral is "partial 16S ribosomal RNA". It matches the Rfam family "Bacterial small subunit ribosomal RNA", at positions 28 to 507 of the family's 1533-position model. The record is from RNAcentral.